Long non-coding RNA from Suricata suricatta (meerkat), 423 nucleotides. RefSeq lists it as uncharacterized. The transcript is spliced from 2 exons. NCBI's taxonomy places the organism in Eukaryota, Metazoa, Chordata, Mammalia, Carnivora, Herpestidae. The record is from RefSeq and is a predicted model, not a curated record.
AAGUCUUUCCCUGCACAUUAACAGCCCAUCUCUCAUCACUGUAUUCAUGGGGAUUUCUCAUAUAGACUUCUAAGGUCCCUUCUCUUUAUAGUUCCCUCCUCUGCUAUGUUCCACCCCACAGAUUCCAGAUGCUUCAGCUGACUCAAACUAUGAUUUAUACUUCCUAAGCUCAGAUAGAAGGACAAACCAUGAUAAUGGUAGACAUAUUAUUCCAAGCCAUCAUGAUAAGCAACUCAAGGAGUAUUGGUUCCAAUUCCCACAGCUUCUUAAAGAUCAAGAAAGGUCCUCAGGCAUUUCCAUUUUCCUGAAAGAAUUUCCUGAUAUGCUAAGAAAGGAUUGGAUUCUGCAACAGGGCCUCAAAAAAUUGUGGUAUAUUUUAUAUGCUUCCAUUUAAUAAAUUAAUGCUUUUAAAACAAGAACAUA